Molecule: ribosomal RNA, 259 nt
Filed under: uncultured bacterium
Lineage: Bacteria
Description: partial 16S ribosomal RNA
Rfam family: Bacterial small subunit ribosomal RNA
Source: RNAcentral
CGUAUGUCACAAGCGUUAUCCGGAUUUAUUGGGCGUAAAGCGCGUCUAGGCGGCUAUGUAAGUCUGAUGUGAAAAAUGCGGGGGCUCAACUCCGUAUUGCGUUGGAAAACUGUGUAGCUAGAGUAUCGGAGAGGUAAGCGGAACUACAAGUGUAGAGGUGAAAUUCGUAGAUAUUUGUAGGAAUGCCGAUGGGGAAGCCAGCUUACUGGACGAAUACUGACGCUAAAAGCGCGAAAGCGUGGGGGUAGCAAACAGGAUU